GAAGACGUGGUCAGCCUUCACUUAGCGCACCGCAGGCAGCGGAUGUCUGGCGAACAAUAGGCGGACGCGCGCGAUGUGACCGCGCACCUUUGUAACUUUCGUCUAGUCAGCAACAAAAAACUCAUUCCUUUGGGGACACCAGUGACGAUAGCAAGGCUGAAGGGGAUCCACAAAGGAAAGCCAGAGGCCAGGCCAAACCAUCAUCUCAAAAAUCUGCUCCCGUUAUCCCUCCACCACCUUCCCUCAUGCAGAAAAGCAGAUCAGUUGUCCUUCCUCCACCACCUCUGGAUCCAAGGAUAGAACAGGGAAGACAAGGAGAGGAGCCAAGUCCUUCUGAAAGCCAGGUCCACAUACCUACCUGGCAAGUGGAAAGGCAUGGAGCCGUUACUAAUGCCUGUUCUGGUUCACUCUCUGGCAACCAUAGGUGGUCAAGACACAAAGCGUGUCACUUGGAACAUCCUCGCCAAAAUAUUCAGUGACGAUGUGGGGAGGAAAAUAAGCUGGAAAGGAUUGAAUGGGAAAAAAACAUUUCAGCAAGAUGACUUCGAAGACCUUACUGCUGCAUACUGUGCGAAAGAAUCAUGUCUCCCGUUCUGCUACUGAUGAUGAGAUCCAAAGGCAUGCGAUUUGCUGGUUCAACCUCGCUGCAGAUAGGGGAACCUCAAGGAGGCGGGCCACUGUCAGUAUCCUAUCCCCUGAAGAUCCACCUGUUAUGUCCUUUAAAGUGUUUGGAAACCAGGUCUCUUCAUGUUGUGUUUUGGUCUCACAGUGAAGGACUCUUCCUGCAUCUUUGAAUCUCCUGGAGCUCCAGAGAGUGGACAUCAGUCAAACAUCCCAACAGCAACAUAGCAUAAAAAGUUUGGUGUGAGGACGCUGCAGCAUAUCAGCAUUCCUCUGAACACAGAGAAUCAUCUUCAGCUCCAGACUUUGUCCACUUUGCUUCAGUUCAAUGUUGAUUUCAGUCGAAUAAAUCAGAGUCAGACAUGUGAAAUGAUCUGUGGUGGUUGAAUGGUUCACGUGAAGCUUCCUUAUUAUUUAAUCAUUUGGAGUUUACAUUAAAGUGACUCAGUUCAUGUUUCACAAA
Long non-coding RNA from Cheilinus undulatus (humphead wrasse), 1084 nucleotides. RefSeq lists it as uncharacterized. NCBI's taxonomy places the organism in Eukaryota, Metazoa, Chordata, Actinopteri, Labriformes, Labridae. The record is from RefSeq and is a predicted model, not a curated record. The transcript is spliced from 5 exons.